GCCAGAUCUGUAUUUACAUGUCUGUGAAGGGAAGGGGGGAAACAGGAACCGGUCUGAACCAGCACUCACCGACUCUAAGGGCUAUUCCAGUUCCCUCCCGCUCCUCCCUCUCUCCCUCUCUCCCUCUCACUCUCCUUAUCUUCCCCCCUCUCUCUCUUCUCUCUCUUACUCAAGAGAGGACUGGCUGAACUUUUCCUCAAGCACCCAGUCACAUUCUGUCUCCUGGAACAGGACCCGGGAACACAUUCCUGGAAAGUGAAAGAUGAUCUAUCUCCCAACCCCAGUACAACAAUGUUGAUGGAGUGAUGCGUGGGGAUCGGGGCGCCGCAGGUCGCAGCAGGAUAGGUGUUUACGCCACAGUUACAUGAAGUAGCCAGGAGGUAUCAUGGCGGAUGCUUAUGAUGCUUAUUGGCAGGGCCGGCCCUGAGUCACAGGAUGGAACAGGCUACAGAACAAGUCAACACACUGAGAGCCAGACGAGAGUGUCACUAUUUGUGGACCCUGGGGAGGACAGUGUCCAAACAGGACUCGCCAACUCCGUCCGCUGUCACCACUGGAGACGGACUCCGAUUUAUUUCAAUUCCAGUCACCUCAGGUUAUCAAGUGGCGAUAGAAUUCUAAUUCGUUUUUCUGGGCAUUAUCAGACGUCCAGUUUGAUUUCCAUUCCAUGAUGUUCAUUCAUCGAUUCUUGAAUUCACAAGAGUUGAUAUUUGAUUUAUCUCUUGACUAGUCGAAGCAGCAACCAAACACCGAGGGGUUAACAAUAAAUAUCAUGAAAGAAGUAAUGUUCGUUAUCUCUGUAAUGUUUCCCAGUGAUUUAUUAAGACGCACAAAUGACAACAUUUCAAUCCCACUAGGAUCUUCGUCAGGUCAAUUCAACAAUAAAGUACCAGUAUGUAAAUCGGAAUGCAGGCGCUUGUGUCAACAUAUGCAUGUACACUGAACAAAAUUAUAAACGCAACACGCAACAACUUCAACAAUUUUACUGAGUUACAGGUCGUAUAAGGAAAUCAGUCAAUUGAAAUAAAAUCAUUAGACGCUAAUCUAUGGAUUUCACAUGGGUGGGCCAGGGAGAGCAUAGGCCCACCCACCCACUUGGGAGACAGGCCCACCCACUAGGCAACCAGGCCCAGCCAAUCACAAUUACUUUUUCCCCACAAAAGGGCUUAAUUACAGACAGAAAUACUCCUUAGUUUCAUCAGCUGUCCGGGUGCCGGGUCUCAGACGACCCCACAGGUGAGGAAGCCACAUGCAUGUAUAUAGAUUUAUUCCAUAGAAUUCACAUACACACUUCUUGGUAGAGAAUGCAAAGCUUUCUGACAUGGUAAUGAUAGCCCAGAGAUAGCAUGGGAUACUCUUAGCGGCAAACUGUUUUUGAGACGAACUAGAGGGGGGUAGAACACGUUGUAGACUACUUCUGUUUCUGGUUUAUAUGGCUCAGGAAUA
RNAcentral lists this long non-coding RNA (1446 nucleotides) under Salmo salar (Atlantic salmon). Its description in RNAcentral is "lncRNA (ENSSSAG00000110595.1)". Lineage: Eukaryota; Metazoa; Chordata; Actinopteri; Salmoniformes; Salmonidae. The record is from RNAcentral.